UUCUUGGACCGCAGCAGGACGGACUACAGCGAAAGCAUUUGCCAAGCGCGUCUUCAUUAAUCAAGAACGAAAGUCAGAGGUUCGAAGGCGAUCAGAUACCGCCCUAGUUCUGACCGUAAACGAUGCCAACUAGCGAUCCGCCGGCGGCUUCUCGGCCCUGGUGGGGAGCUUCCCGGAAACGAAAGUCUUCCGGUUCCGGGGGAAGUAUGGUUGCAAAGCUGAAACUUAAAGGAAUUGACGGAAGGGCACCACCAGGAGUGGAGCCUGCGGCUUAAUUUGACUCAACACGGGAAAACUCACCCGGCCCGGACACCGUGAGGAUUGACAGAUUGAUAGCUUUUUCAUGAUUCGGUGGUUGGUGGUGCAUGGCCGUUCUUAGUUCGUGGAUCGAUUUGUCUGGUUUAUUCCGAUAACGAGCGAGACUCCAGCCUACUAACUAGUGCGGGCAUUGCCUCUGUGCUUGUCACUUCUUAGAGGGAUUGGCUGCGUCUAGCGGCACGAAACGGAGCAAUAACAGGUCUGUGAUGCCCUUAGAUGUCCGGGGCUGCACGCGCGCUACACUGGCAAAGGCAGCRUGCUUGUCCGCCUCCGAAAGGAGCCGGUAAACCCUUGAAAAUUUGCCGUGAUUGGGAUCGGAAAUUGCAAUUAUUUUCCGUGAACGAGGAAUUCCUAGUAAGUGCGAGUCAUCAGCUCGCGYUGAUUACGUCCCUG
Molecule: ribosomal RNA, 711 nt
Filed under: Ogma aquitanense
Lineage: Eukaryota; Metazoa; Nematoda; Chromadorea; Rhabditida; Criconematidae
Description: SSU rRNA
Rfam family: Eukaryotic small subunit ribosomal RNA
Source: RNAcentral